Molecule: long non-coding RNA, 503 nt
Organism: Melospiza melodia melodia
Lineage: Eukaryota; Metazoa; Chordata; Aves; Passeriformes; Passerellidae
Exons: 2
Source: RefSeq, a predicted model, not a curated record
CUGCGCCACCUCACGUGCUGGAUUUGCCAGGAUCUGAGCUCACUGAGCACGGCUGUUCAGACACUGUCCUGCACUCCGUGGGGGAUCAGGGGCUUCCGUGCAAGGGCAGACUUACACUGGCCGCACUCUUUCAAAAUGAAGUGUCCAGACCCUACUUCAUCUAACUUCAUUCUGAUGGAAACAGCUAAAGGGAAAAAAGAGGACGCAAUUUAUUCUGCUGGUGCUGGUUCUGCCUUUCAGUGCCCUGUGGAGAUAAUGGAAGACUCCAGCAAAACCAUCCCUGCUUUUCCUCCCUCUUCCCUGCACUCAGACUGGAGAGGGAGAGUUUGCUCUGCACCUCUCCCUGACCUGCUGUCAUGCUCUACCAGCAUGGAGACUGAGCCCCCAGGCACUGGGCCAGCACAGGGCAGGCAGAGACGAUGGGGCUGGAGACAGGUGGGAGAAGCAUGAUAGGGGUUAAAAAGAAUCACAUGAAAAUCAAAGUGGUCUCUUGCAGCCUUCAA